AUCUUAUCGAGAGUGGCGGAGGGACAGGCCCGAUGAAGCCCGGCAACCGGUUGACGAAUUUCAAAUUUCAUUUUGAGAUCGGCAAUGUCAUGGUGCUAAUUCCUACAUGGUCGUGAUAGGUUUCACGGCUUUGCGCAGAUGAGAG
RNAcentral lists this non-coding RNA (145 nucleotides) under Paenibacillus stellifer. RNAcentral's name for it is "SAM-I sequence". It matches the Rfam family "SAM riboswitch aptamer (S box leader)". From Rfam's summary of the family: The SAM riboswitch is found upstream of a number of genes which code for proteins involved in methionine or cysteine biosynthesis in Gram-positive bacteria. The SAM riboswitch acts at the level of transcription termination control. The record is from Rfam by way of RNAcentral. Lineage: Bacteria; Bacillati; Bacillota; Bacilli; Caryophanales; Paenibacillaceae.